Molecule: long non-coding RNA, 715 nt
Organism: Neopsephotus bourkii (Bourke's parrot)
Lineage: Eukaryota; Metazoa; Chordata; Aves; Psittaciformes; Psittacidae
Exons: 2
Source: RefSeq, a predicted model, not a curated record
GGGGCUGUUUCUGUCCCAGUGUAUGAGAGGUUAUAAACAGUAUCUGAGUUCCUUGUCUUGGACAUGGAUGACCUGGGUAGAAUUAUAAAGUUAAAAAGGAAGCAUCUGCGAGGGUGAUAACUCCAGGGGGGAAGGAACUGGUGAAGCAGUUCUAUCUUCUGGUGUGGACAGGUUUCCCUGCCCGCGCUGGUGUAACAGGUUUGCCUUGUUCCCCUCCCAGCCCUUUGUGCAAAGGAAAUUCCACAGCGAAUUUACCUCAGAUGAUACUAGUGCUGCUUUCUGUUUGGUCUCUGCGUACUUUUUACUCAAGUAGUUAGGGAUUAAACUCUAAAGUCGUGACGUAACUUGUGUUGUCUGGCUUUGCAACGUGUUCUCGGUGGACGUGGCUCUGAGGACAGAGGGCUUUGGUGCCCCAUCUCCAAAAGCCUCGCACUGUUCCUUGGAACACUGUGGUUGUGCUUUAGGCAGUGUGGCAGGCUCAGACAUUUAAAUGUGUUGUUAGCAGCAGGAAGGAGCACUCUGAAAUGAGUUGAACAGCGUUGUCUCUUAGUUGUUAUGAAGUCUGCUCUUAAAAGUAAUAACUUCUACUGAUGAACAAAAGCGUUGCCCGUUCCCUGUCUCUCUUCAAAGGCAGCUGUGUGAAGAGCAGCAUUCUACUCGGGUUCAAAUCGGUUGAGUCAGGUUAAAAACACAUGCAGUUCUGUUAUUAACAUAA